CAAUGGACUUGGAACCGGUCCAAUCUCUAGAGCACUGGUAACUUGGCCAUUGGCAUGCCUUGAUGCAGCCAUGCCGGGGUAUGAAGAGGCUUCGAUGUAAAGUACUCAGUCGGAGAGGGAUGCUUAAAGUAUUACCUUGCGAUGACGUAACUGGCAGAAGAGCACACUCCGUGCAGCAGCGCGUAUACGAGGGUGCAGCGUGAUCCGAUACUGGCGUAAAGCGCACGCAGGCGGUCUGUCAAGUCGAUGUGAAAUCCCCGGGCUCACCUGGGAGCUGCAUUCGAUACUGGGCAGGCUAGAGUCUGUAGAGGGGGGGGUAGAAUUCACGUGUAGCGGUGAAAUGCGUAGAGAUCUGUGCUAGACUGCGAGGAAUACCCGGUGGCGAAGGCGGCCCCCUGGACAAAGACUGACGCUCAGGUGCGAAAGCGUGGGGAGCAAACAGGAUUAGAUACCCUGGUAGUCCACGCCGUAAACGAUGUCGACUUGGAGGUUGUGCCCUUGAGGCGUGGCUUCCGGAGCUAACGCGUUAAGUCGACCGCCUGGGGAGUACGGCCGCAAGGUUAAAACUCAAAUGAAUUGACGGGGGCCCGCACAAGCGGUGGAGCAUGUGGUUUAAUUUGAUGCAACGCGAAGAACCUUACCUACUCUUGACAUCCAGAGAACUUAGCAGAGAUGCUUUGGUGCCUUCGGGAACUCUGAGACAGGUGCUGCAUGGCUGUCGUCAGCUCGUGUUGUGAAAUGUUGGGUUAAGUCCCGCAACGAGCGCAACCCUUAUCCUUUGUUGCCAGCGGUUAGGCCGGGAACUCAAAGGCAGUGAUAAACUGGAGGAAGGUGGGGAUAUACGACGUCAAGUCAUCAUGGCCCUUACGAGUAGGGCUACACACGUGCUACAAUGGCAUAAAGAGAAGCGACCUCGCGAGAGCAAGCGGACCUCAUAAAGUAUGUUGUAGUCCGGAUUGGAGUUUGCAACUCGACUCCAUGAAGUUGGAAUCGCUAGUAAUCGUAGAUCAGAAUGCUACGGUGAAUACGUUCCCGGGCCUUGUACACACCGCCCGUCACACCAUGGGAGUGGGUUGCAAAAGAAGUAGGUAGGUUAACCUUUGGGAGGGCGCUUACCACUUUGUGAUCAUGACUGGGGUGAAGUCGUAAUCAACGUUAC
RNAcentral lists this ribosomal RNA (1159 nucleotides) under Klebsiella aerogenes. Its description in RNAcentral is "bacterial SSU rRNA". It matches the Rfam family "Bacterial small subunit ribosomal RNA", at positions 311 to 1500 of the family's 1533-position model. Lineage: Bacteria; Pseudomonadati; Pseudomonadota; Gammaproteobacteria; Enterobacterales; Enterobacteriaceae. The record is from RNAcentral.